GUGCCAGCAGCCGCGGUAAUUCCAGCUCCAAUAGCGUAUAUUAAAGUUGUUGUGGUUAAAAAGCUCGUAGUUGAACCUUGGGCCUGGCUGGCCGGUCCGCCUCACCGCGUGCACUGGUCCGGCCGGGCCUUUCCCUCUGUGGAACCCCAUACCCUUCACUGGGCGUGGCGGGGAAACAGGACAUUUACUUUGAAAAAAUUAGAGUGCUCCAGGCAGGCCCAUGCUCGAAUACAUUAGCAUGGAAUAAUAAAAUAGGACGCGCGGUUCUAUUUUGUUGGUUUAUAGGACCGCCGUAAUGAUUAAUAGGGACAGUCGGGGGCAUCAGUAUUCAACUGUCAGAGGUGAAAUUCUUGGAUCAGUUGAAGACUAACUACUGCGAAAGCAUUUGCCAAGGAUGUUUUCAUUAAUCAGGAACGAAAGUUAGGGGAUCGAAGACGAUCAGAUACCGUCGUAGUCUUAACCAUAAACUAUGCCGACUAGGGAUCGGACGGUGUUAUUCAUGACCCGUUCGGCACCUUACGAGAAAUCAAAAGUGCUUGGGCUCCAGGGGGGAGUAUGAUCGCAAAGACUGAAACUUUAAGAAAUUGACGGAAGGGCACCACCAGGGGUGAAGCCUGCGGCUUAAUAUUGACUCAACACGAGGGAAGCUCACCAGGUCCAGACACAAUAAAGGAUUGACAGAUUGAGAGCUCCUUCCUGAAUUUGUGGGUGGUGGUUGCAUUGCCGGUCUAGUUGUGGGGGUGCCUUUGUCUUGCUUAUUUGCCAUACCGACGAGAACUUUAACCUGCUCAAUUAGCCGCAUUCUCCGACAGUCGCCCUGGC
RNAcentral lists this ribosomal RNA (822 nucleotides) under uncultured fungus. Its description in RNAcentral is "SSU rRNA". It matches the Rfam family "Eukaryotic small subunit ribosomal RNA", at positions 564 to 1385 of the family's 1831-position model. Lineage: Eukaryota; Fungi. The record is from RNAcentral.